GGGAGGUUUACAUGACGAGCACGCAUUUUCCAAAAUGUUCAGACAGGGUAGGACCUCUCCUGUAGACAACACAUUUGGCCUUGUUUUAAAGAACUAAAAGACAUACAUCCUCUGUCUCCAAGACAGCUAGGAGAGGACUACUGCUUAGGUAUGCAUGGUGAAACCCUACCCAUUGCUUGCAAGGCUCUGCUGCAGAAUAACUAAUCUUGGGAACUAUACAAAAUAAAAGAAUUUGUCAACUCCUGUGCCAGCUAUACACAUGUGACACCUUUAAUUUAGGUUCUUACUUCCUCAGUCAAAAAAAAAAAAAAAAAAAAAAAAAAAAAACAAAGUCACUGAGAAGCAGAGAUUUUGAAACAGAAAACUGAAGCAAGAAUUCUCUUAAAAGAGGCCAUUUUUACAGGGCUGUGUGUGUUAACCAAACUUUGUGGCUUGUUGGUGUUCUUUAUGUUCCCAAUUUAAAGACUAUUCCUGUCGGUGUGAGUGAAUUAAGAGGAAACCUGCAUAAAGAGGAAGAAUACAGCGACCACAACAACAAAGAAGCGACUCCAGGGGUAGAACACUGUGUGAGAGAAGUCUAUCAGAAGCAACUCCAUGGGAAGAAAUCAUAAUCUGCGGUAGGGACACUCACUGCCUUGGACAGACAGCAGCCCCCAAAAGGUGCGCUUUGGACCUCAAUGCAGGCAGUCUCCACCUACUGCUCCGCUCACCACAGCCUCCUGCCAAUGACUGUGACAGCCUUGACAGUGAUCUCUCCCCACCACCUCCUGCUGCCUCCACAACUCAGGGAUCUUAAUGUAGAGCCUUUCUCGGAGACCAUCAAGGCCCACCAUCCUCUCUUUUUCAGAGGAAGCCCCAUCUUGGAAAGCCAUCGCCCUGGCCGCUCAUGUCCUUAGCUUCCCACCCUGCCACUGCUGGCUCAGUGACCCUGCACCUGCUGGCAGGGAUAAGGAACCUGACACUGAUAAAUUAAAGAAAGGGCUUUGGCUCCCAGUGCGUAGAGGUUCCAGACUAUAGAUGGCCGGCUCUCUCUCAGGCAGGACAGCGUGACGGAGGGGCAACGCAGAGGAGGAACCACUCAUGGCAAGGCAAGCAGGAAGCAGCAGUGAUUCAGGGAGGAGUGGAGAUGGGCAGUAUCCUGCCAGGUCAGACCCACAGGACCCCCUCUUCCCACCAGUGUCACACCCCCGCCAUAAACCCAUUAGUGACUGAUCCAGCAUCACCCCCAAGUCCCCACCUGUGAGUCCCCGAGGCCCUGGGGGACACCCAGCACAUAGCACCUCCCACAACCUGUCACACCUCCAUGCAUUCAUUUCAGAGUUCUCUCCUUCCCUAACUCAGAGCAUCAACAAGAACUCCUUUUUUAAGAUCCAUUCAAAUAUCUUCUCCACAGAGCAUCCCUCAACAUCACCAAAAAUAAUGAGUCCUCCUCUUUUCUCCUCCUGAGCCCUCUUUAUUCAUUCUGCUAGAGAGCAGCAAACGCCCCUGCACUGUGCAGUUACCAAACACUUCUUAUUUCAUCAAUGCCAAGUCACGAACUUGCGACACCCGAGCAUCUUAUUUAUGUCUCUUUCCCUCAGAAUGGGCCUAGUUUGAGCUACUGAAUCCAGAAUGCCCUAGUUAGCUGUAGGAGCAGACAAAUAAUUUAAUUAAGGCUGCAAAAGUACUUGGCUUUGCAGAGAAUUGCUUGAGAAGAAUUAUGUAGAUAUAGACUAUAAUACUUUCUAAAGGCUUAUAAUACAGACCCUUAAGUCUGAACUGAAGUGCAUCCUUCCGCGUAACAUCUCUUUCUAGCCUUAUAAUCUUGUAAUAUUUAAACAUUUUAAUAUCAGGACUUAAAUUUCUGCACGUUGCAAUGACCAUGUAGGGGUUGGCUGCUACAUUCCAGGAUUUCUAACAUCUCGUGACUAUUCUCAGUGACAGCAUCUACUUCUCCCAGAACUUAGUGCUCUGUUUGUCUGUGCUCUGUCUAUAUAGUCCACGGUGACUUCUCCAUACAGUUCUGGGUCUUGUUCUAACGAAGGCAGUGGUAUGUGACACAGUCCAAAUAAGAAUCUCUCCUGAAAUUUGAAUUUGGCCCUCAGAUAAAAAUACCUGUAAGUUUUGAAGUCUAUCCACUUGCAUAGACAUGCAGAACAGUUUACAAACUUCUGGCUACUUAGAUACAAGAUGCUGUUCUUAUAUUUUUCUUUUGAGCCAAAUUUUGCAGAAUUCCUGUUACUUCUAUAAGGUAUACAACAUUCUUUUAAUGUUCAUUUUUUGUUUUUGUUUCUGGGGGUUGAACGCCAGACAGGCACUUAAACUGCUGAGCUAAAACCCCAGCUCCUAAUGUUCAUUUAUUCAUUCAGAUUAUCCAAGCUGGUUUUUAGGGUUAGUCCAAAGGAAGUCCAGAAGUGUCCUCUGAUUAAUAAAAGUGGAUUAGCCCUGCUCACUACAGCUGAUAUGCAAAGUUCUGUGGCACACUCAUAGGGGUUUGUAGAUGGCUAAUCCCCUCCUCACAUCCCUCCUCCUUCCCCAGGCUCCUCUCCAUCUCUGUAGAGUCUACCACCCUGUUUCUUUACAGGGCUGUUUAUUUUACUCUACAAUUUGUUUAAAAUGAAUGAAUGCUGGGGAGUACGUGGGGGAAAAGAAACUCACAUUGUUGGUGAGACAGUAAGCUAGUACAACCAAUUUGGAAACCAGUAUGGAAAUUUCUCAAAAAAGAAAAACUAGAAAUUCCAUUUGACCCAGGCAAACUUCUCCUCAGUAUCUUUCCAGAAGGGCUAAAAUCGCUAUUUGCAGAUAUGCACAUUCCCAUCUACAAAUCACGGUCACCAAGUCUUGGAAGCAGUUUUAUGUUCAUCAGUAGAUGAAUGGGUGAAGAAAAUGUGGUAUUUAUACACAAGGGAUCACUGCUUAGCCACAAUGAAGAGUAAGGUUAAAUUUGACUCAUUUGUACAAAAAUAAUGAACUUGACACCAUAUUGCUAAAUGGAAUAAAUCAAUCACAAAAGGUUAAAAACUACCGCGUUGUUUCUCUCUGUCUAACUCCAUCGUAAGGUGAGGUACAUCUAUAUAGUCUGCCAUGGGGCUGGGUAACGUUGAUUCACCUACCCAGCUCCUGUAAAUCUUCUUUUCCUCCCACCACAGGAGUGGUCUCACACUGAGGAAGUCAGGCAGUAAGAAUGUACAGUACGUUUAGCUAAAUAUGAACUUUAUGAGCCAAUCAGAAGAGACCACAGCUCCACAGCGCCCAUGAAGCUCCCAAUUUGCAUGCUCAUGGGAGCCCCCUCCGGCCGUCACGCAACUCCAUCCCAUCCUGACCUUGUUCUCUCCUGGAAUACAAUUUAUCCCACACCUCUCUCCACACUUCUUUCCAAGUGGAAAUCACCAAAGCCACUUACUAUUUUAUGCCUGAUAACUUGUACUUUAUUUGCGUAAACAUUUCUCUAUAAAUUAUCAUGAAAAGUGAAGCUUGUUGUCAGGACAACCAAGAAGAAAAAUCUCUAAUGUUGUAUUGUUGUCAAAUUACUGACUUGUUCUGUGCUUUUGCCCUUGUGUUUGCAAAAAUAAAUCCUUCUGCCAAAA
This is a long non-coding RNA of Cavia porcellus (domestic guinea pig), 3566 nucleotides long. RefSeq lists it as uncharacterized. The record is from RefSeq and is a predicted model, not a curated record. The transcript has 2 exons. NCBI's taxonomy places the organism in Eukaryota, Metazoa, Chordata, Mammalia, Rodentia, Caviidae.